AAAAACCAAAAAGAAUACAAUUAUCACUUGCCGGUCUCCAUUCUCUAGAACAUUCCUAAAACCCUAAAACCUCUCUUAACUUUCUCUGCCACCACCAUCACCAUCAUCGCUAGCACCCAGUCAUGGCUCUACAAGCAAUUCGCUUCCGUCGAGCACUCACUUCACUCUCAACUCUCCAACGCACACUAAUCAACCCCACUUCCCCUCAUUUUCCUCUGCCGCAAAAUCCUACCACACCGUCCAUACAAUCGCCGCCAUCCUUUUUCUCUAUUCUCCAAACACGGCUGUUCAGGGGAUCAGAAACAUGUCUAUCCUCUCAGAAAAAGAAAGAGUAUAGGGUUUACAAAGAGGGAGAUGAGAUAACGGAAGAUAUGGUACUUUUCGAGGGUUGUGAUUUUAAUCAUUGGUUGAUUACUGUUGAUUUUCCUAAAGAUCCUGCGCCAACUCCUGAAGAAAUGGUUGCUACCUAUGAGCGAAUAUGCGCUGAGGGACUUAAAAUUAGUAUUGAGGAGGCGAAGAAAAAAAUAUAUGCUUGUAGCACCACUACUUAUCAAGGCUUUCAGGCUGUGAUGACAGAAGAGGAGUCUGAACGCUUUAAAGAUGUACCCGGGGUUGUAUUUGUGCUACCGGAUUCUUAUAUUGAUCCUCAAAACAAGCAGUAUGGAGGAGACCUGUACGAAAAUGGGGUAAUAACACCGAGACCACCGCCAAUUCAGUAUAAGAGGGGGGGAGGUAGAUUCAAGAGGAAUUCUGAACAACCAAGAUAUGACCAGCAAGGAGGUGGGAUGCCAAAUCAACGUUGGAGUCCCCAAUACAAUCAACAAGGUCCACCACGGCAAAAUUAUGGACCUCCACAGCAAAAUUAUCCACCACAGCAAAAUUAUGGACCUCCACAGCAAAAUUAUCCACCACAGCAAAAUUAUGGACCUCCACAAAAUUUUCCACCACAGCAAAAUUAUGGAUCUCCUCAAAAUUAUCCACCACAGCAGAAUUAUGGUCCUCCAGGACAAGGGGAAAGAAUGCCAAUGAACAGUGGGAAUCAUCAGGCAAAUAGAGGAGGUCCACAUCAGGGAAAUUAUAAUCAGGGGCAGCAGGGAAAUCAGUAUCCCCAAGAUCAAAGCGGCUUCCCGCAAGGAGGUCAGAGGGAUUUUAGGGGAGAUAACCGGAAUUUUUCACCUUCACAUGCUGAAACAUGUGGACAGGGCACAAAUGCUGGCUAUGGACAGGGCUAUCCUGGUGAAGGACCAAGGUUCUCACAAAUGGAGCAGAGGAACAUCCAAGGAGAGCAAGCAAAUUAUACACCAAUGGGACAAACCAGGCAGUGGUCAGAAGUUUCUCCACCCUUGAAGAAGUUUACACAAAAUUUUUUUUUGGGAGACAUGAUGAAGUGAAAUUCAUUAAUGAGAUGAGACAGAUACAUCAGAGAAAAGGAUUUUGGCCAAUGUCGGGGAAGAUUUUAGGAGGUGAGUCCAUCUGCCCAAGGCAAUGGAAAGUGGGGACUUGUAAAUCACUUUUAUCAUACACUUGAUCAGGCUUCUGAACAAGGGAGGAUACAAUGUAGAACCUUUUUGUAUUACCUUUCUGUUCUUACUAACUGAUUAGUACUAGGAGAGUAGGAUUAAACUUUUCCCAUUUGAUGUGAGUUGUUACCAGUUUGUGGGGGACUGCAUAUGUAUUAUGAACUUGGCAUGAGAGUGCUCUUUGGUUUUCCUAAUUUCUUUUCUUGAUUCAUCAAUUAUAUUAAUAAUUUAUAGUGAAA
RNA transcript from Ricinus communis (castor bean), 1759 nucleotides. It is a transcript of the gene named multiple organellar RNA editing factor 1, mitochondrial, with no coding region annotated. NCBI's taxonomy places the organism in Eukaryota, Viridiplantae, Streptophyta, Magnoliopsida, Malpighiales, Euphorbiaceae. The record is from RefSeq and is a predicted model, not a curated record. The transcript is spliced from 6 exons.